AUUUAAAUAGUUUAAAAAAAAAUAUUGAUUUGUGGUGUCAAAGAUAUGAAAUAUUUCAUUUUAAAUC
This 67-nucleotide transfer RNA is filed under the name Thaumatosmylus hainanus. RNAcentral describes it as "tRNA-His". Lineage: Eukaryota; Metazoa; Arthropoda; Insecta; Neuroptera; Osmylidae. The record is from RNAcentral.